Molecule: transfer RNA, 72 nt
Filed under: Urocitellus parryii (Arctic ground squirrel)
Lineage: Eukaryota; Metazoa; Chordata; Mammalia; Rodentia; Sciuridae
Also listed under: 2 other names
Description: Spermophilus parryii (Arctic ground squirrel) tRNA
Rfam family: tRNA
About the family: Transfer RNA (tRNA) molecules are approximately 80 nucleotides in length. Their secondary structure includes four short double-helical elements and three loops (D, anti-codon, and T loops). Further hydrogen bonds mediate the characteristic L-shaped molecular structure. tRNAs have two regions of fundamental functional importance: the anti-codon, which is responsible for specific mRNA codon recognition, and the 3' end, to which the tRNAs corresponding amino acid is attached (by aminoacyl-tRNA synthetases). tRNAs cope with the degeneracy of the genetic code in two manners: having more than one tRNA (with a specific anti-codon) for a particular amino acid; and 'wobble' base-pairing, i.e. permitting non-standard base-pairing at the 3rd anti-codon position.
Source: Rfam by way of RNAcentral
GGGAGUGUAACUCAGUGGUAGAGUGCUUGCCUAGCAUGCACAAAGCCCAGGGUUUAAUCCCCUGUACCCACA